Molecule: long non-coding RNA, 1240 nt
Filed under: Mus pahari (shrew mouse)
Lineage: Eukaryota; Metazoa; Chordata; Mammalia; Rodentia; Muridae
Description: lncRNA (MGP_PahariEiJ_G0002976.1)
Source: RNAcentral
AAUCUCAAGGAAGCACUCGGGGCACCAGGAUUCCCAGCACUUAGCUGGUGGGCAAAGGGGCUCAUCCCCCUCCCCACAUCCCACCUUCCCUCCUCCCAGUCUUCAGGAGUGCGGAGCUCCUGCCGGGAUCCAAGAGCAGGCUCUUGGUAGUCGAAGAAGGAUAUAACCUCCAGACCUGGAAUUUUAAGACGCAAGAACCAGCCAGCAAAUGUGGCAGCCGAGCAUGCGAAUGAAGAUGCAGAAGUCUCAGCUCCUUCAGUGCUAUUGUCUGCCAGGAUGCUGCCAUGCUCCCUUCUUGAUGAUAAUGGACUGAACCUCUGACUCUGGAUGAGAAGCUACAGCUUUACUUCUGAAAAUUCACAAAGGAGUCCAUGUUCCAAGAUGAGAGAAAUACCAGAAGCCGAUGGUUAUUCUAUUUGACUGAAUGAAAAGAAAAGGAAGUCGCUUCCUGUCAAUCCUGCUUUGGAUUCCUGGACAGUUUAAGAAGCACCAUUGAUCUGAUCAUUGACACUGAGAAGGAAAUGUCCAUCCACUGAAGACACGUGGGGCUCCUCCCAGUUUGACAUGGGCAGCAGCAAAUUGCUUCUGUGAAAUCUUCUUGCUGUUUGGGAUGUAUCCUUCUAUAGCACAGAAACGGAAACUUCAGCCAGAAGAGUGGAAUUCAGGGACUCCAUGCCAACAGAAACAGAGCUCUGCAUUUGUUUCCUGAGCCUCCUUGCACAUGGAAGGUUUCUUUCCUCACAAGAAACAUGUGUUAAAGGAUACUAAAGUGGCUUUCAGUUUGGGGUUAGAACCUGAAACAGAAAGACAACGGAGACAAACUUCAGCUCAGCUUUCCUAGAUUGGAAAUGAUGCGUGAAUUUUGCUGUUUCUCCCAGAUUUCAGAACAGGUAUGACAUGGUGCUUAAUUUAAUCAUCCAGUGAAUCACCUUUUCUCUGUGGGAUAUUAACACUGAUGUAAGAUGUCUCCAUGUGAGGAACGGGAAAGACUUGAGACACAGAAAAGCUUCCAAGAUUGGUAAAUAGAAUAAUGUGGUCUGUACCCCACUAAUUUUUCUUGCCAUCCCUGAGAGGUCCUGUGGGCUGUAGCGAUGCAUCAUUUAGAUAGCCCCUUCAGCUGGUUCAUGGAAAACUAACAAAAAUUGAUGUUGUUAUCUGAGGUUUUCUUGUGUGAUUUGUCUAACUCUUUACAUUUAUUAAGGGUUUUGCCUUUCUUUAAUAAAAUGGCCCGAUAUUGCCU